GGGCUGCAGAUACGCAUUCUUUGCGUGUACGUUAAUGUCAAAGUGGUUUCGAGCUUAAUC
This 60-nucleotide unclassified non-coding RNA is filed under the name synthetic construct. The record is from RNAcentral.